RNAcentral lists this ribosomal RNA (1508 nucleotides) under Helicobacter pylori. RNAcentral's name for it is "bacterial SSU rRNA". It matches the Rfam family "Bacterial small subunit ribosomal RNA". The record is from RNAcentral. Lineage: Bacteria; Pseudomonadati; Campylobacterota; Epsilonproteobacteria; Campylobacterales; Helicobacteraceae.
UUUAUGGAGAGUUUGAUCCUGGCUCAGAGUGAACGCUGGCGGCGUGCCUAAUACAUGCAAGUCGAACGAUGAAGCUUCUAGCUUGCUAGAAGUGGAUUAGUGGCGCACGGGUGAGUAACGCAUAGGUUAUGUGCCUCUUAGUUUGGGAUAGCCAUUGGAAACGAUGAUUAAUACCAGAUACUCCCUACGGGGGAAAGAUUUAUCGCUAAGAGAUCAGCCUAUGUCCUAUCAGCUUGUUGGUAAGGUAAUGGCUUACCAAGGCUAUGACGGGUAUCCGGCCUGAGAGGGUGAACGGACACACUGGAACUGAGACACGGUCCAGACUCCUACGGGAGGCAGCAGUAGGGAAUAUUGCUCAAUGGGGGAAACCCUGAAGCAGCAACGCCGCGUGGAGGAUGAAGGUUUUAGGAUUGUAAACUCCUUUUGUUAGAGAAGAUAAUGACGGUAUCUAACGAAUAAGCACCGGCUAACUCCGUGCCAGCAGCCGCGGUAAUACGGAGGGUGCAAGCGUUACUCGGAAUCACUGGGCGUAAAGAGCGCGUAGGCGGGAUAGUCAGUCAGGUGUGAAAUCCUAUGGCUUAACCAUAGAACUGCAUUUGAAACUACUAUUCUAGAGUGUGGGAGAGGUAGGUGGAAUUCUUGGUGUAGGGGUAAAAUCCGUAGAGAUCAAGAGGAAUACUCAUUGCGAAGGCGACCUGCUGGAACAUUACUGACGCUGAUUGCGCGAAAGCGUGGGGAGCAAACAGGAUUAGAUACCCUGGUAGUCCACGCCCUAAACGAUGGAUGCUAGUUGUUGGAGGGCUUAGUCUCUCCAGUAAUGCAGCUAACGCAUUAAGCAUCCCGCCUGGGGAGUACGGUCGCAAGAUUAAAACUCAAAGGAAUAGACGGGGACCCGCACAAGCGGUGGAGCAUGUGGUUUAAUUCGAAGAUACACGAAGAACCUUACCUAGGCUUGACAUUGAGAGAAUCCGCUAGAAAUAGUGGAGUGUCUAGCUUGCUAGACCUUGAAAACAGGUGCUGCACGGCUGUCGUCAGCUCGUGUCGUGAGAUGUUGGGUUAAGUCCCGCAACGAGCGCAACCCCCUUUCUUAGUUGCUAACAGGUCAUGCUGAGAACUCUAAGGAUACUGCCUCCGUAAGGAGGAGGAAGGUGGGGACGACGUCAAGUCAUCAUGGCCCUUACGCCUAGGGCUACACACGUGCUACAAUGGGGUGCACAAAGAGAAGCAAUACUGCGAAGUGGAGCCAAUCUUCAAAACGCCUCUCAGUUCGGAUUGUAGGCUGCAACUCGCCUGCAUGAAGCUGGAAUCGCUAGUAAUCGCAAAUCAGCCAUGUUGCGGUGAAUACGUUCCCGGGUCUUGUACUCACCGCCCGUCACACCAUGGGAGUUGUGUUUGCCUUAAGUCAGGAUGCUAAACCAGCUACUGCCCACGGCACACACAGCGACUGGGGUGAAGUCGUAACAAGGUAACCGUAGGUGAACCUGCGGUUGGAUCACCUCCUUUCUAGA